GGGGGUAUAGGGCAGUGGUAGAGCACAUGCUUAGCAUGCAUGAGGUCCUGGGUUCAAUCCGCAGUACCUCCA
This 72-nucleotide transfer RNA is filed under the name Camelus ferus (Wild Bactrian camel). It matches the Rfam family "tRNA". From Rfam's summary of the family: Transfer RNA (tRNA) molecules are approximately 80 nucleotides in length. The record is from Rfam by way of RNAcentral. Lineage: Eukaryota; Metazoa; Chordata; Mammalia; Artiodactyla; Camelidae.